GAUGAACGCUAGCGGCAGGCCUAAUACAUGCAAGUCGAACGGCAGCACAGCAGAGCUUGCUCUGUGGGUGGCGAGUGGCGGACGGGUGAGGAAUACAUGGGAAUCUGCCCAGUCGUGGGGGAUAACGUAGGGAAACUUACGCUAAUACCGCAUGCGCCCUUGGGGGAAAGCCGGGGACCUUCGGGCCUGGCGCGAUUGGAUGAGCCCAUGUCGGAUUAGCUAGUUGGCGGGGUAAUGGCCCACCAGGGCGACGAUCCGUAGCUGGUCUGAGAGGAUGAUCAGCCACACUGGAACUGAGACACGGUCCAGACUCCUACGGGAGGCAGCAGUGGGGAAUAUUGCGCAAUGGGGGAAACCCUGACGCAGCCACGCCGCGUGAGUGAUGAAGGCCUUCGGUGUAAGCUCUGUCGGGAGGGACGAAGGGAGCGAAUCUCUGACGGUACUCGCAAGAAAGCACCGGCUAACUCUGUGCCAGCAGCC
RNAcentral lists this ribosomal RNA (480 nucleotides) under uncultured bacterium. RNAcentral describes it as "bacterial SSU rRNA". It matches the Rfam family "Bacterial small subunit ribosomal RNA", at positions 28 to 516 of the family's 1533-position model. The record is from RNAcentral.